RNAcentral lists this ribosomal RNA (485 nucleotides) under uncultured bacterium. RNAcentral's name for it is "partial 16S ribosomal RNA". It matches the Rfam family "Bacterial small subunit ribosomal RNA", at positions 28 to 507 of the family's 1533-position model. The record is from RNAcentral.
AUUGAACGCUGGCGGCAUGCCUUACACAUGCAAGUCGAACGGCAGCGGGCCCUUCGGGGUGCCGGCGAGUGGCGAACGGGUGAGUAAUGCAUCGGAACGUACCCGGGAGAGGGGGAUAACCGGCCGAAAGGCUGGCUAAUACCGCAUGAACUCGGAAGAGCAAAGCGGGGGACCUUCGGGCCUCGCGCCCUCGGAGCGCCCGAUGUCCGAUUAGGCUAGUUGGUGGGGUAAAGGCCCACCAAGGCGACGAUCGGUAGCGGGUCUGAGAGGACGAUCCGCCACACUGGGACUGAGACACGGCCCAGACUCCUACGGGAGGCAGCAGUGGGGAAUCUUGGACAAUGGGCGCAAGCCUGAUCCAGCAAUGCCGCGUGGGUGAAGAAGGCCUUCGGGUUGUAAAGCCCUUUCGGCGGGGAAGAAAUCGGUCAGGCGAAUAGUCUGGCCGGAUGACGGUACCCGCAGAAGAAGCACCGGCUAACUACGUG